UUCAAUUAUCUGACAAUAAAAUAGAAUCAAAUGAAUCUUCCAUUAUCUUUGCAGAAUUAUUUGAAGAUGGAUGAGAAUCAUUGACACAGACAUUUAUUUCUCACAGUUCUGGAGGCUGAGAAGUUCAAGUUCAAGGUGCCAGAAGAUUCAAUGUCUGAUGAGGGGACGAGGCUGUAGACGCAGAGGAGACCUGACUGUCUGACCACAGUACUUCCUCCACUGCCAGAGAGAGCGUCUCUGUCAUUCCUGCUCAUCUGGGACUCAGAACUGCUGUGGGUGAGCAGUUGUGUGUUCCUCAUCCUUCUUUUUGCUUAAUAGGAGUUUUUGAAGCAGGGAUCCUGUCCCUGUGUCACCAGUGCACGUGGGACAAGAGGAGCAAUAGCUUGCUUAACAGUUUGCACGACACUGACUCUGAGACCUUGAUAGAGACAACAUACCUUCUAUCCCCUUUGCCCAAACACCACCCCCACUGCACGCCUUUUAUUCAGUCUCUGCUCAAAAUUCAUCUCCCAGCGGCGACCAAAUCACUCCACCUGAAACCACAGCCCAUCUCUUCCUGUCACCUUAUCUUUCCUCACCCUCUUUACACCUCUGUCCUCUCUUCAAAGCACCUAUUAUUUUGCUCCCCGACUGCAGUGUAAACUCUUUCAAGGACACAACUUUGUCUUGUUCCCAGCUGAAGGUCCUGGCACCUAGAAAUGGCCAAUACAUGGUAGGCUGUCAAUAAGUUUUUGCUGGGAAAAAGAUUAAAUAAUUGAGAGUUUCUGAUUUCCAA
Camelus dromedarius (Arabian camel) is the source of this 775-nucleotide long non-coding RNA. RefSeq lists it as uncharacterized. The record is from RefSeq and is a predicted model, not a curated record. NCBI's taxonomy places the organism in Eukaryota, Metazoa, Chordata, Mammalia, Artiodactyla, Camelidae. The transcript has 3 exons.